CUAAUUGUACUCCCUUCUAUCAGCUUUCCCCAGUCAUUCAUUCUUUUUGAGGUUCCAUUCGUUAAUUUGUUCGUUUCCCGAACCGAGAUCACCCCAGAGACUAAUUAGAACUAAGAACACCAUGUAUCUAUAUGAAAACCGCAGCCUAAUUGAAUGCUCCUAGGUGGCCACCAUUUUGUGCAUACGAAUACACGUGGUGAGAACAAUGGGUGGCGGCCAUUAUGUCUCCAAAACACUGCCUUCGGG
Non-coding RNA from Pelobates cultripes (western spadefoot toad), 246 nucleotides. NCBI's taxonomy places the organism in Eukaryota, Metazoa, Chordata, Amphibia, Anura, Pelobatidae. The record is from the annotation of a GenBank genome assembly.